Non-coding RNA from Pelobates cultripes (western spadefoot toad), 242 nucleotides. NCBI's taxonomy places the organism in Eukaryota, Metazoa, Chordata, Amphibia, Anura, Pelobatidae. The record is from the annotation of a GenBank genome assembly.
CAGUCGUUGUGCAGACACUUUGGUGACUGUAGAUAACCUCGGACCGAUCCCUGUGACGGCGACGACGCAUUCGGUUGUCUGCCCUAUAAACUUUCAAUGUUACUUUCUGCGCCUACCAUGGUGACCACGGGUAAUGGGGAAUUAGGGUUCGAUUCCGGAGAGGGAGCAUGAGAAAUGACUAACACAUCCAAGGAAGGCAGCAGGCACGCAAAUUACCCACUCCCGACACGGGGAGGUAGUGA